ACCCAAAAAGACAGUCUCAGUUCGGAUUGAAGGCUGAAAUUCGCCUUCAUGAAGCCGGAAUUGCUAGUAAUGGCAGGUCAGCAUACUGCCGUGAAUACGUUCCCGGGCCUUGUACACACCGCCCGUCACACCAUGAGAGUUGGGGAUACCCGAAGCCUGUGAGCCAACUAUAUAGAGGCAGCAGUCGAAGGUAGAAUCAAUGAUUGGGGUGAAGUCGUAACAAGGUAUC
Molecule: ribosomal RNA, 229 nt
Filed under: uncultured bacterium
Lineage: Bacteria
Description: partial 16S ribosomal RNA
Rfam family: Bacterial small subunit ribosomal RNA
Source: RNAcentral